Molecule: ribosomal RNA, 253 nt
Filed under: uncultured bacterium
Lineage: Bacteria
Description: partial 16S ribosomal RNA
Rfam family: Bacterial small subunit ribosomal RNA
Source: RNAcentral
UACGGGGGGGGCAAGCGUUGUUCGGAAUUACUGGGCGUAAAGGGCUCGUAGGCGGCCAACUAAGUCGGAUGUGAAAUCCCCAGGCUCAACCUGGGAACUGCAUCCGAUACUGGAGGGCUUGAAUCCGGGAGAGGGAUGCAGAAUUCCAGGUGUAGCGGUGAAAUGCGUAGAUAUCUGGAGGAAUACCGGUGGCGAAGGCGGCAUCCUGGACCGGCAUUGACGCUGAGGAGCGAAAGCUAAGGGAGCAAACGGG